AACGAACGCUGGCGGCAGGCCUAACACAUGCAAGUCGAACGCCCUGGCAACAGGGAGUGGCAGACGGGUGAGUAACGCGUGGGAACGUGCCCUUCGGUUCGGAAUAACUCAGGGAAACUUGAGCUAAUACCGGAUACGUGCGAGAGCAGAAAGAUUUAUCGCCGAAGGAUCGGCCCGCGUCCGAUUAGCUAGUUGGUGAGGUAACGGCUCACCAAGGCGACGAUCGGUAGCUGGUCUGAGAGGAUGAUCAGCCACACUGGGACUGAGACACGGCCCAGACUCCUACGGGAGGCAGCAGAGGGGAAGAUUGGACAAUGGGCGCAAGCCUGAUCCAGCCAUGCCGCGUGAGUGAUGAAGGCCCUAGGGUUGUAAAGCUCUUUCGCCAGGGACGAUAAUGACGGUACCUGGAUAAGAAGCCCCGGCUAACUUCGUGCCAGCAGCCGCCGUAA
This 449-nucleotide ribosomal RNA is filed under the name uncultured bacterium. Its description in RNAcentral is "partial 16S ribosomal RNA". It matches the Rfam family "Bacterial small subunit ribosomal RNA", at positions 29 to 523 of the family's 1533-position model. The record is from RNAcentral.